Molecule: microRNA precursor, 111 nt
Organism: Chlorocebus sabaeus (green monkey)
Lineage: Eukaryota; Metazoa; Chordata; Mammalia; Primates; Cercopithecidae
Source: Ensembl
UGGCCUCUGGGCACGGGGGUUGGGUGUGCAAAGGGUGGCAGCAAGGAAGGCAGGGUUCCUGAGGUGUGUCCUCCUGCCCUCCUUGCUGUAGACUUUGGCCUGAGCAAGGAG